UGGGGAAUUUUCCGCAAUGGGCGAAAGCCUGACGGAGCAACGCCGCGUGAGGGAUGAAGGCCUCUGGGCUGUAAACCUCUUUUAUCAAGGAAGAAGAUCUGACGGUACUUGAUGAAUAAGCCACGGCUAAUUCCGUGCCAGCAGCCGCGGUAAUACGGGAGUGGCAAGCGUUAUCCGGAAUUAUUGGGCGUAAAGCGUCCGCAGGCGGCCCUUCAAGUCUGCUGUUAAAAAGUGGAGCUUAACUCCAUCAUGGCAGUGGAAACUGUUGGGCUUGAGUGUGGUAGGGGCAGAGGGAAUUCCCGGUGUAGCGGUGAAAUGCGUAGAUAUCGGGAAGAACACCAGUGGCGAAGGCGCUCUGCUGGGCCAUCACUGACGCUCAUGGACGAAAGCCAGGGGAGCGAAAGGGAUUAGAUACCCCUGUAGUCCUGGCCGUAAACGAUGAACACUAGGUGUCGGGGGAAUCGACCCCCUCGGUGUCGUAGCCAACG
Molecule: ribosomal RNA, 488 nt
Filed under: uncultured cyanobacterium
Lineage: Bacteria; Bacillati; Cyanobacteriota
Description: bacterial SSU rRNA
Rfam family: Bacterial small subunit ribosomal RNA
Source: RNAcentral